GAUGGUAUAGCUUAACUGGUUAGAGCGUUCCCUUGGAAAAGGAGAUAUAUUGGUUCGAUCCCAAUUACCAUCA
RNAcentral lists this transfer RNA (73 nucleotides) under Chryseobacterium chendengshani. RNAcentral's name for it is "Chryseobacterium sp. LJ668 tRNA-Ser". It matches the Rfam family "tRNA". Rfam says of the family: Transfer RNA (tRNA) molecules are approximately 80 nucleotides in length. The record is from RNAcentral. Lineage: Bacteria; Pseudomonadati; Bacteroidota; Flavobacteriia; Flavobacteriales; Weeksellaceae.